This 326-nucleotide ribosomal RNA is filed under the name Skeletonema marinoi. Its description in RNAcentral is "partial Bacterial large subunit ribosomal RNA". It matches the Rfam family "Bacterial large subunit ribosomal RNA", at positions 2152 to 2477 of the family's 2925-position model. Lineage: Eukaryota; Bacillariophyta; Thalassiosirophyceae; Thalassiosirales; Thalassiosiraceae. The record is from RNAcentral.
AGACUUUGAAGCAGUGACGCUAGUCAUUGUGGAGUCGUCCUUGAAAUACCAGCCUGGCAUGUUUGAGGUUCUAACCUGGGUCCCUUAUCGGGAUCGGGGACAUUGUGUGGUGGGUAGUUUGACUGGGGCGGUCUCCUCCUAAAGCGUAACGGAGGAGCACGAAGGUUGGCUAAUCAUGGUCGGACAUCAUGAGGUUAGUGCAAUGGCAUAAGCCAGCUUAACUGCGAGACAGACACGUCGAGCAGGUACGAAAGUAGGUCAUAGUGAUCCGGUGGUUCUGUAUGGAAGGGCCAUCGCUCAACGGAUAAAAGGUACUCCGGGGAUAA